This 288-nucleotide ribosomal RNA is filed under the name uncultured bacterium. Its description in RNAcentral is "partial 16S ribosomal RNA". It matches the Rfam family "Bacterial small subunit ribosomal RNA", at positions 28 to 318 of the family's 1533-position model. The record is from RNAcentral.
GACGAACGCUGGCGGCGUGCUUAACACAUGCAAGUCGAGCGGUAAGGCCCUUUCGGGGGUACGACGAGCGGCGAACGGGUGAGUAACACGUGGGUGACCUGCCCUUAGCUCUGGGAUAAGCCUGGGAAACUGGGUCUAAUACCGGAUAUGACUCCAUGACGCAUGUUGUGGGGUGGAAANCCUUGUGCGGCUAGGGAUGGGCCCGCGCUAUCAGCUUGUUGGUGGGGUGAUGGCCUACCAAGGCGACGACGGGUAGCCGGCCUGAGAGGGCGACCGGCCACACUGGGA